AUAGAGAAAAAGAACACAAUUCCAUGGAAUGUUACUUUAGAAAUGAAGGUAAAGUUAAAAUAUUGUUAACAAUCAUCUGAUUACAUACUUUUCAGAACCCCGAUGAUCGUAAGUCAUCCUUUAGUAGAUUUCUUAUGGCAGGCAAAUCAUUUUAUGGAUAGGAACAUGCUCUUCUUUAAGUAAUUAAAAUUUCGUUCUAGAAAAUAAUAUUUGCACACCCGAAAGCUAGUUGGUCUUGACGUCCUGUGUCCUUUUUUUUCAGGUAUGAUAAAUAUUAUCAAACGCCUCGAGUAUGGCUUACUGGAUAUGACGAGGUAACCAUUGAAGAUCAUCCUUACUUGCCUGGGAAGCAUGCAUCUGUUCAUCCAUGUCGACAUGGAGCCGUGAUGAAAAAAAUUAUCGAUGUUCUAAUGUCACGUGGGGUUGAGCCAGAAGUUGACAAGUACCUUUUCUUAUUCUUGAAAUUUGGGGCCUCUGUAAUUCCAACCAUCGAAUAUGCUUACACU
This is a long non-coding RNA of Carya illinoinensis, 506 nucleotides long. RefSeq lists it as uncharacterized. Lineage: Eukaryota; Viridiplantae; Streptophyta; Magnoliopsida; Fagales; Juglandaceae. The record is from RefSeq and is a predicted model, not a curated record. The transcript is spliced from 3 exons.